This 403-nucleotide ribosomal RNA is filed under the name uncultured bacterium. Its description in RNAcentral is "bacterial SSU rRNA". It matches the Rfam family "Bacterial small subunit ribosomal RNA", at positions 355 to 774 of the family's 1533-position model. The record is from RNAcentral.
AAGGGAAUAUUGCAAAAUGGGCGAAAGCCCGAUGCAGCAACGCCGCGUGGGCGAUGAAGGCCUUCGGGUCGUAAAGCCCUUUUUGAGGGGAUGAGGAAGGACAGUACCCUCAGAAUAAGCCUCGGCUAACUACGUGCCAGCAGCCGCGGUAAAACGUAGGAGGCGAGCGUUAUCCGGAUUUACUGGGCGUAAAGCGCGUGCAGGCGGAUUGGAGAGUUGGAUGUGAAAGCUCCCGGCUUAACUGGGAGAGGUCGUUCAAUACUUCCAGUCUUGAGGGCAGUAGAGGGAAGUGGAAUUCCGGGUGUAGUGGUGAAAUGCGUAGAUAUCCGGAGGAACACCAGUGGCGAAAGCGGCUUCCUGGACUGUAACUGACGCUCAGACGCGAAAGCUAGGGUAGCAAACG